UAUUCAUGUUUACAUUUGUACAUAUUUUGGUGUUAUUUACCACUGGAAAUUCAAUACUCAGCCAGAACUUGUUACAUGGUAACUUCAAUAAACACUUGAUUGAUUAGUAAUGAACAAAUUUCUUAUUUUCUGAGUCUGCUCAUCUGGAAACAUGGAUAACCUCCAAGGUCCUCAGGGACUCCUGGAAGCCUAGCCUUCUUCCUGCUUUUCCCAAGUUCUCUCCCUGGUUGUCAAGAGAAUCUCUCAUAGGUAAAAGAACAGAAACAGUGGCACAUGGUCUGUACAUUUACCAGAAAUGAUUCUUCACUAUAUUUCAGCAUACUUUGUGGUUUAAGAUAGGGCUCUCUGAUAUAGAAUGCAUAUCCCCCAUCAAGCAGAUUUUAAAAGGCCUCUAAUACACCGAUUUCACAGAGGGGUUAAUAAAAUGACCUUACUAAAACAGCUAAGGAAAUCAAUAAUUCAACUGACAAUAAACAAAAGUCUUUUCUCUUGAUACACAGAGUAAUUGAAUGGAUGGGAUAUAAAUGCUAUCAUUUUGUGAAUCUUUGAACUUAUACAUUGCAUCGGUUGAUUGUCUUAGUUUGGGCUGCUGUAAAAAGUACCAUAUACUGGGUAGUUUAUUAACAACAGAAAUUUACUUCUUAUAGUUUUAGAGGCUGAAAGUCUGAGAUUAAUAUGUCAGGUUAGGGUGAGGGCCCUCUUCCGGGUUGCUAACUUCUGGUUGUAUCCUCACAUGGCAGAAAAAGGCUGAGAAAAUUCCUUGGGGUCCAUCUUAUUAAAAAAAUCUCAUUAGUGAAGCUCCACCCUCAUGGCCUAAUUGGCUCCCCAAAAUCCCAGUUCCAUAACCAUCACAUUAGGCUUUAGAAUUUCAACAUAUGAAUUUGGGGUGGGGCGGGACACAAACAUUUAGUAUAUAUUGCACUGAUAUACUUUACUGUGAGCUGAACAAUGCAGAAAUCAAUUAUAAGAUGAAAUCUCGAAUGAAUAACAGAGAAAAAUGAAUUCUACAUAUUUCUAUUAUAUAGAAAUCAGGCAAUAGUAGAGCAAAUGCACAGUUUACCUGAAUUUUAUUCUAAGUAUCAUGAAAUCAGAAAGCAACUACAUAUAAAUAACCACUACUAUAUAUAAAUAACCACUACUAGUAAAAGCAAUUAACUGUUCAAAAUAAGCAUAGGCUAUUAGAUUGAAGUAUAGGUAACAGAAAAUGCUUACCAAUUCCUAUACCAUUUCUGUCUUUUGCUAGAAAUAUUAUUUUUGGAAGAGUUUUCCCUCAAGACAUUUUUCUAAUACUCAGCUACCGCAUUCAUAGCAGAAUCUAUAUAAAAAUACACUUUAAAAUUGCCUUAAACACUGCAAUACUUAAUCCAUUUUUAUCUCAAGCAGAUAGUUUUUGGAAUAUGAUGGAAAUAGAGGUAAAAAUAAAAAAACACACACACACACAACAAAAAGAAAAGAAAAGAAUGUGGAUCUGCAUUGGUCUAAAACUCGAGAUCUAUUUUCUUCUGUCAGUUUCACUCUUCUCCUCCAAUUUUCUGCGGGAAACCAGAAAUCUUAUUCUAGAUUUCUGCUAUGGUCUAAAUGUUUAUGUUCCCUCAAAAUUCAUAUGUUGAAAUCCUAAGCCCCAAGGUGAUGGCAUUAGGAGUAGGCCCUUUGGGAGGUGAAUAGAUCAUAAAUAGGAUUAGUACUCUUACAAAAGAGGCCCAAGGGAGCUUGUUUACUCCUUUCACUAUGUGAGGACACAGCCAGAAGGUGCCACCCAUGAGGAAUGGGCCCUCACCAGUCACUGAAUUCACCUUUAUGUUGGACUUCCCAGCCUUCAGAACUAUGAGAAAUACAUUUCUAUCAUUUAUAAGCCACCCAGUCUAUGGUGUUCUCUUACAGCAGCCCAUAUACACUGCUAUUUUUUGCUCGGGUAUUAUCUACAAUGACAUGAUCACAAAUGGGAAGUUGCUGAGGAGAUCAUUGGUCCUGCAUAGCCAAAAAUAUUUACUAUUUGGCCCUUUACAGGAAAAUUUUGCUGACCCAUGUUUAAAAGCAUGGACUUAGAAUAGACAGAUCUGGUUCAGGCCCAACUCUGUUGCUUACUAGCCUGUUACUUAAUCUAGAGACUGAAAUACUUAUCUCAUGAAGAGUAGUCUUUCUAUGAAUAAAUGAGAAGAUGCACACAGACCACCAUAGCAAUUACCUGAUGGAGAAUAACAUUAAAUAAACACUUUUUUUAAAGUUAGCUAAGAAUUUUAUUUCUAGUUGCUGUCUUCUCUAUGCCUCGGUUUACUUAUACAUGAAAUACAGAAAACACUAUAAAAUUUUUACCUUAGCUUGUGAUACAUUUUUCUCAUGACAUUAAAAAUUAGAAUACUUUUAAAAUUAUGCAUAUUGUUAGAAAUCCAUUCACCUAAUUAUCUAUAUUAGUUUGCUAGGGCUGUCAUAAAAAAUUACUACAAAUUAGGUGGUUCAAAACAACAGAAAUGCAUUGUCUUAUAGUUCUGGAGCCAGAAGAAAUCCAAAACCAAGGUUUUGGCAGGGUUGUUUCCUUCAGGAAGCUUGGAGGGGGAAUCCAUCCUAUGCCCAUUUCCCAGCCUGUAGUAGUUGCCAGCAAUUCUUGGUGUCCCUUGGCUCAUGGCAACAUAACUCCAAUCUCUGUCUCUGUCUUCACAUGGCCUUCUCUGUGUGUCAGACAUUCUUUUAAAUCAGGGCAUAUAUUUUUAAUAUUUGACUUACAUGUGCACAUAGACCAGCAAGAAGAGACUAGCCAAUUAUUCAGAAUAAAAAAAGAAAUUUAGAAAAACUUACAGAAUUUUAUAAAUCUAUUAUAGGCUCCUAUUGAAAGUGUUCCUAAGAACAUUAUCCUCUCCAACCUAGUCUGGCUCUACUGGUGCCCUUGAUAUUAUUCUCUGCUUUUCAAUAUCUUACCUCCAUUGCAUCUAUCAUAUUUAUUUCAUAUCCCUUUCUUCCUUCAGCUGUGUGCUGUUUCUUUUUUGUCUCUGCACUGUACCUGGUGAAGAAACUGAAGAGUCAGCUGGCACUCUCUGCAGGUUCCUGUCUGCAUGCCAAUACUUGUUGCUCUGUCCUAUUUAGAGGGCCUGAGUUCCUGAUGAGGAAAUGUGCUCUGCAGAAAGACCAGCACCAGUUUGGCAAUCACAGAGAGAAACACUUAUUUUCCCUGCUAAACAAAUAACUUAUUACUGAAAAACCACUAAGAACUGAGAUGAAGUCUGUUUACAAGAAAUGACAUGAAUCAUAAAAGUCUUAGCCAGGCUUAAACUAUUGUGUAUACAUACAUAGAAGCAUACACGAGCACACAAACUCCAGCUGCUUAUUUUUUCCUUUUCUUUUCCUUUGAAUAUGUCUUAAUUCCCUAGUAACCCCAAGUCAAGGAUUAAGUCAAGUAGGAUCUCAGUAAGAAUCUGAUCCAACCCUGUUUUGGACAGAAUUCACAGAAAGGCUUGAAGCUGGGGAAACAUGGCUUCCUACCAAGAACCAUCAGGGAGUGUUUGGUUUACAACCAUUUUAUUUUAUCUGGUUACCUCUCAAGAAAUGGGCCUUUGACUGGUUUGGGAAGAGGAUCUCAGUACUGGUUGUUUGCCUUAAAAUAUCAUGCAAAAUUUGUGUACUCACCUAAUGAUUUCUAAUUGAUAGUUACUCUUAACUUCCUCUUUGAAGCAGUAUGAUACAUACUAGAAAAGGAUGAACCCUACAACUGGCAAUCUGAAUACUUGGGUUUUAACCAUGUCUCUGCAAUAAGUGACCUUGGAAAGUAACCUAAUGUCAUAGGGCACAGGAUGAGAUUAUCUCUAAAUCUUUUUAUAGCUCUGAGUCAGUGAUUAAAUGAUCUGUGAGUUCCAGUUUUAUCCUUGUGAAACAUAAUUAUAAAUAGUCAAUCAUAUCCAUAUACUAGUUGCUUUGACAAUUUUAUAAAAAUGACUGGCAUCCAGAAUUGAUAAAACAUAGUCAUUUAUAAAAAUUUUUCUUAUUCCUUUGAAUGAUCAACAAGAAUUGUGAUUAAAUUUUUGGUGUUUUCUUAGUGUAUAGAGCACAUCUUUGUACAUAUCAACACUAAGAGAGAAGAUUGAGACAGGGAGGAGAGAAGAUUGAGAUAGGGCGGAAAUAUGAGUAAAGGAAGCUCUGGGUUUUGACUUUUUAAAAAAUUGAGGUCCAAAGGAAGCAGAGCUUUUAUUUUUUCUUCUUUCAUGGGUACAAAAAUAAAUACAAGAAAAUAGCAGAAUGGGGAAGAUAAAGAUUUUGGAGUCACAGAACUGGGUCCAAAUCCUUAAUUCACUACUUAACAUAUGUAUGAUUUUGCCCAGUUUAUGAGAUUAAGUUCUCUAAUUCUUAAAUGUUAGAAACAAAUACCAUGAGUGUAUGUGGUAAUGAUAAUGUAAAAUAACAUACACACAUUCCCUAGCAAGGGGCUAGUCAUCCUAGAUCAGUACUUCCCAAACUUAUCUAAAGUGCAAACAGAUCACCUGAGAUCUUGUGUAAGUCAGAUUUGAAUUCACUACUUCUGAGCUGGGGCCUGAGAGUCUGCAUUUCUAACAGUCUCGCAGAUAAUGCCAAAGCUCUGUGUAGCAUGGGUAAAGGCAUUUGAUUAAAAUGUAGAAUGCCUUUUGCCUUUAUCCUUCCAUUUCCAAGCAUAAGUACAUAUUUAUUUUGAAAUGAUAGAGGGGAAGGUUGGGUUUUUUUUUGUUUUUGUUUUUUCUCUCCCUGAUCAGUACCCCUCUUCUGUUCCAGUCAUCUGUCACCUAUAGUCAGGGCAAAGGACACCAACAGUGUAUCAUUUUCAAGUCAUAUUGUGUCAACUUGCUAGGACAAGUUCUCCAAACUUUCACAGAGCUCUGUGAUCCUUCCUUUAUUUUUUUUCAGCCAUCACCUCCAGUUCACAAAUGUUAGAUUUAUUUAUUAAAGUCUUCACCCUCUUUUCCACUAGAAAGGCAAGAUUUCCAGUGAAACUCUUUUCUUUCACUUGUUCCAAACUUCUGUUAAAAACAAAUAUAACAACGACAAAAAAAAAAAAAUCUUUCUCUUACAUAUCUGCAGGCUCAUGGCUUUACCAUUUUUGUGCUCUUCUAUUUCUCUAAAUGAUAGCAAAGGGCCUAGCAACCAUUUACUUGUCUUUCUAGUUCUUUCAGUCAAUAAUAGAUGAUAAUUUACUCUCCCUCUAUAUGAUUGGAGCAUAUUUUAAAUUAUCCAUUUAAGCUUGAUCUGUAAUUAAAAUUAUGUGGGCAUUUGUGACAUUAUUCUGCAAAAAUGUUCUGUGGGCUUUCUCUGAUCUAGCUCAUGGAGUCCAGGUGCAAAGCAGCAUAAAAACACUGAGGGAAAAAUCAACCCUAUCUUGGGUUCACACACCUUCCAUUUAUCUGCCAGCUCACAAGCAAAAUUCAUAGAUGUGUCUUUCCAGGAGAUUAAGUAUCUCCCAGAGUCAGCAGGAAAUCUGAACUGUUAUCUUAUUGCACUUAAGUAAAAGGCAGUCAGUCCUCUCUCUCUCUCUCUAUUCCAAUGUAUUUCAUGGGGCACAAGCACUGUUUUAUAAGCAAACAAAUAUAUGCCAUGUAAGAAGUCUAUUAUUAUUCAUGAAUACUCACUUACAUCCCCAUAAGAGGAUUACACAUUUAUACCCAUUUUUAAAUGAUGUGCAAGACCUUCUUCCUAUUGACAUUGGUGGUCAUUUGACUUGCUUUGGCCAAUAAAAUCGCAGAAGUGAUGUGCACCACAUCUUAGCACAGGCUCCAAGAACUACUAAUAGUUAUGUCUCAGGCUUUCCUUCUGCCAUGAGAAGAGCGUGAGCCAGGUAAAUGACAUGAACCUGACCCUAGAAUGAGGAAGACAUAUGGAACAGGAGCAAAACUGCAGUUGAACUGUCAACAUGAGCAAGAAAUAAAUUUUAUUGUUGGAGUCACUUAGACCUUGACAGUUAUAACAGAAUAACCUAGCAAAAGCUGAUCAAAUCAGUGCUUUUACCUACACAAAUGAUUUAAAGGAGAGGAGAACAAAGCCCUAAAUAAUAGAAAAGAAAACAAGCUAAAUAUCCAACUAAUUUCCUACAUUUUUAAAAGGCGAGAACUAAACAAUUACAUUCUUCCUUUUGCCUUAGCAAAUCUGUGCUAGGAAAGGCUUACUGAUUUCAUCAAGAUUCUAAUGCCACUUAAUUGAAAGUACCUGCUUUUCAAGUUGGAAUGAAAAUGAUGAUGAGGUAUUAGAUGAGGAAAAAAUCCAGAUCAUUAAGAUUUGUCAGGUGUGUGACAGGGUUAAUGGUAAUCAAUGUAAUAUAUUUGCUCUUCAUGUUUUAGAACCAGGAAAAAUACCAGGAAAUACCUGAAGAUUUAUGUCCAGUGUUUUAAAGAAGGAAAUAAGAUCUUUCUAGAUUCUAGGGCAAAUUCAUGCUUUCAAAUGGUUAUCAAAUAGUGAUACAAUAGGUAAUAGAGCAGAGUAAGUUCUACUAAGAAAGUUUAUUUUUCCUUUUCUCUGUCUAUUAUUAUUAUUAUUUUGCCCGAUAAUCUUUGCUGUUUAUUAAUGACAAUCUGAAUUAAACCCUCGGCACCUACAUUGUCAUUAGAAAGGUUUGGGCUACAGGGCAAGAUAAAGAACUUUAAUAAGUCAUUAUUAGCUGAUCUUCAUGCUUCCAUUUGAUUCCAGCCUACAUACCAGCAGUGGAAGAGAUUCAAAAAUGACCUCUAAAAAAGGAAUUGCAAUUGAGCCAAAAGUAUGGUGACUCAUAAGUUUUCUUUACAAAAAAAAAAAGAAAAAAACUCUAGCAAAAAGGCAAUUUAACAGUCUCCUACAUCUCAGUGAUUCAUGAAUGCUAUAUUUAUGCAUAUUCAUGAAAGAAAGAUCUUAAAAGAAUACUUUGUCACUUUUUUCUCCUUUUGAUGCAGGCAGAGCAGAUACUAAAAGGACACCUAAGCCAUCUGUUCAACUCCAAAAACUCUAGAACUCAACUUAUCUGGCCAUACAGGACUCUUGAAUGUUCAUGCUUUCAGGAUUUAUGGUUGUCUUUAGCUGUUUGAAUACCAAAAUGCAUGGAGAAACAAUGGUAUAAAAUACUUAGCACCCUAAACAUUUCCAUUUCAAAUGACUAUUUGUUUUAAUAGCUGUUUUAUUUUCAUGAUACAAAAUUUUAGAAUUAUCUCUUCAAAUUUGGCUUGAGAUUGGCAUUUCAUAAAUUCAAGUGAGUACAUAAUUUUAUACAGUUCAGCAAGUAUCAUCUACUUAUCCUUAAAGAGCAAAAUGCAAUAGAACUAGUGAAUGCCAAAAAAAAAUCCCUUUUAAGCAGCGUGAUCUCAUAGUUUAUCAUCCAAACUGUGGAAAUUUUUAGAGUAAAAGUAGGCCCUAUUAAAAUUAUAUGAGAAUUGUCUCAGGCAAACCUAGAUGUAUAAUAACAUGGGCUAUAGAAAAAAUUGAAAUUUGAAUGUUAAAUCAAAAUUAAUGAGACAUUGAUCUUUGUUAGAGGUUUGCUUUAAUCAUGUUUAUGAUAAGCUUCUUAAACUUCCUUGGUCUCCUUAUUGGCUAGCAGAAGGCUGGGACUGUCUAAUUGGUUUAGUGAGUUUGAUAGUUACCUCUUCUAAUAUCUGAUUUCAUGAUCAUGGUUAGGAUGUGCCAUGGACUUUAUGUACAUCAUAUUAUUUGGUCUUCAAUGCAACAUUAUGAAAUAGUUUCCCAAUUUUUCAGAACAUAAAAUUGAGUCUCAGAAACAGUAAAUAACUUGUCCAAAUUCAUGAGCAAGUGUGAAGUGGAGCCUGAUUGAAACCCAGUUCUACCUAGAUAUAAAAAGAUACAUUAUUUCUUAAAGUUCUUGAGAAUUUUUCCCUUUAGUCUUGCCUUUAGAGGGAUAGAAGGCAAACGCCAGGAAAAUCUUUCCUACUUCAGGGAAGACAAUGGAUAUGAAGCUUAUCCUUUAUAUAGUAUCACACUAUGUAAAGGAUAUCAUACAUAUCAUACAUCCUUUCUCAUUUAAUGGCUUUUAGAAUCUUGACUGGCCUUUUAAGAAAUGCAAAAUGAUCACUUUUGUGAGAUAUAAAAUGUUUAUUUGAGAGCUAAGUGUAAUUCUAAUCACCUUAACCAAAACCCAGUAUGACUCUAUUGGAAAGAAAAGGAAUCUGUACUCACACAAUUUGGAGUUGAAAUAUGCUGGGUGACUUUGGGAAAGUUGUUCUGCAUCUCAGAAUUCUAAUAUCCCAAUCUGGGAUAUUAGAUUAGAUAUUAGAUAGUAUUUUUCUUAGAAAAUUGACUUAAUGACAGUAAAUUGGAAAAAAUAUAUAUAAUGGAGAAUUACACAGGGCCUGGGUUAUAUUAAGGCCAUGCAUAAUGUUUUUUCUCCUGAUAGCACCAAAGGAUUUCAAUGUAGACAUUGGGAAGAGUAAGAAAUUUGAAGAAGAAAAUCUGAGUUUAAGUCCUAGCUACUUAUUAGCUUUUUAACUUUGAGAUAAUUUUUGAAGUUGAAAUUCCUCAUCUUUAAGUGGAAACUAUAAGAAUAGGUGUCUUUAAUAUCUCUCAGGAUCAUUGUCAGUUGCAAAUAAAAGGAACAAAAAAGUUCUUCAUGAAUGAUGCCUUUCAAAUAUAGUUAUUAUUCUGGUUAUGAUGAUGAUGAUGAUGAUCUGGACUAGUGACUAGGAAAAUAUCUGUGUAGUUGACAAUCAUAUACACUAGACUUGAAGUGAAGAUGAUGUAGCUGGUCUUUCAAUAACACUUAGAGAACCACUGAGAUAGAACAUACUUGGCAAAGGGAGAAUAGCAGAAUAUAAGGUUGAAAAAGCAGGUCCAAACUAAGAUCUUGGAAGCUUUUAAAGAAUAAGAAAUAGGCAGAGCAUUUGGAAUUCCUGAAGAUUUUUUUUUACCAGAAUGGUAAUAUAAACUAUAUUGUGAUUUAAGAGAUAUUAGUGUGGACAAGUGUGUGCAGAUGAUGAUGUUCUGCUGAGUAUUAGAUUGCCUGUAAAUAGUAUAUUCCAUCUAGAGCAAAUCCAAAGUCCAACCUGGCAGGCACUUCACAUACAUGUUUUAGGAGUGGAGUUUGAUUAAAAGUUUAAAGUGUUAUUUAAAACUUUUUUUCUUUUAAAGGACCUUUCUGGGAACUUUUGUGGUGAUAGAACUAUUUCGCAUGGUACUGUGGUAGUGGAUAUACAACUGUGUGCAUUUGUCAAAACCCAUGGAAAUGUGCAUCACAAAAAGUGAACUUUAUUCUAUAAAACUUUAAAAAAGUAAACAGGAUAUUAAAGAAACACAAGAUGGAAUGCAGACUCUGAGAAAUGAAUCUGUGUAACAAAUAAAUCACAUAACCAUACUGAAACAAAUGAGGAAGAAAGAAGCUGAUCUAAGUAACUUUGUGAAAUUAUCUUUUGAUUUGAUAAUGUAAGACUAAAGAUUAAAAAUAACUGUAUCAUAGUUGGUAAAUCCAUUUCUCAUUGGAUUAUGUUUUACAGUUCUGAAACUAAUAUUACAUGUAUACUAGCAUUGAAAAAUAAGAAAAAUAUAGAUAAUAAAAAUUAGCUUUCCAACUGCCUAAGAAAGAAAUUAAAAGUAAGCAAAGCCAAAAUGCUAGAAUGAACCAUAUGGUGUUUGACUGGAGUUGGAGAUAUCAAUAUGAAGUCAUGUUGAUAUAUACACAUAUAUGCAUACAUAUGAAUAUAUAUGUACACAUAUUUACACACAUAAACAUAUGUGUGUGUACAUAUAUACACACACACACACAAAAGAUACAUAAAUAAACAUAAAUAUAUGUGUAUACAUGCACGGGUAUACAUACAUGCCUUCCCUAACACUAUCUACUGAGAAGUUUAGAAGUACUGACUCCUCAGUAGUGACUAGUGCAACUAGUACCAAGAACUUGGUCUCUAUUACCAUUCUUCAAUAAUAGAAACCAGGAAUCUUUGGAGAAAUGGCUAAUUCUGGGGCUGAGCAGGGAAAAUUCAAGAUGAGCCUAGAGCAUCUGGUGGUGCUAGGAUGUAAAGAAGUGCUCAAGAAAAAAAAAAAGAAAGGAUGAGGUGCGUAUCAAAAGGACACAGACAUAAUCUAAAGAGCUCCAAAUGGCCAAAACUGGAACAAUUUAAGCUACAAAACCGGAACAAUUUAAGCUACAAAAUAAAUAUUGAUAGUGUUGUAUUAUAACUGAAAGAAUAAAAUAUAUAUCCAUGAGUCCAUACUGAUAUAAACUAUUGAAUACAUAUGUGAAUGACAUAGAAGGAAUAGUCCUCCAGAGGAAUUCCAAUUAAUAAAUAUAGGAAUGAGGGAAUAUAGAAACACCAUCAGAACACCAUUGUAAUAAUUGCAGCAAGUGAUAUUUACUGACAUAUAAUGAUAUCCCAAAUAAAUUAGGCCAAAUUUUAAAGAGAAAUAGGAUAUCAGUAUAUCCCCAAUGUAUCUCCCUGAUAAAUAUGUAUUAAUUACUAUGGCAAUUUUAAUAUGUUCACAGGUUCUUUGAUAAUAUUUUUAUAAAGGUGGAGCUUAAUUCCUAUCCCUUUGAGUGUGGAGCUGGUCUGAGUAGCUACUGAUACUGAGUAGAGUAUGGAAAAAGAAAAAUAGUCACUUUACAGUGGAGAAAUAUGACAAAAAAAAAACAGCUUAACCAAAUUAUUAAGGUUAGCAUCACCAGAAGUAAGAUACAUUAAUGUAAUAUAUCCCUAAUAUGAUAGAAAGAGAAGGGCACAUCAGCUCUGUGGUAUUCCUCUCUCAAAUACAUACAUUCAGUCGAAUCAUGAGAAAACAUCAGAGAAAUCCAAAUAGAGGGGCUGUCUGCAAAAAUCCAACCAGUACUCUUCAAAGUGUCAAGAUAAUGAAAGACAGCGAAGAAACAUCACAGACUAGAGGAGAUCAAGAAACAUGAGAACUAAAUGCAAUACGGUAUCCUGGAUUGGAUCUUGGAAUAGAAAAAAGACAUUAUGGGAAACAUUUGGGAAAUCUGAUUAAAUCCACAGUUUAGUUAAUGACAUUGCACCAAUGUUAAUUUCUUAGUAUUGAAAAUUGCAUUGAUAAUUCAUAAUUGAUAUUUGAUAAUUGUCCCAUGUUUAUUUAAGAUUUUUACCUUAAAGGAAGCUGAGUGGAGGGUAUACAGGGACUUAGCUUCAUCAUUGCAGUUUCUCCCUAAGUCUAAAUUUACUGCAAAGUAAAAAGUUAAAAAACUCUUGAGAUAAGGAAUUUGUCUUAUUAAAGUAGUGAGCAGAUUAAUUUAGUUCAAUGAGAUUAAACAACUAGAGAUAUUAGAAAUGUUUUCUCAAUACUUGCUUUCUCCCUCACAUUUAUUUUCUCCAAGUGCAUGAUGUUCAUUGUCACUUUCAAAGCAUUCUAAAGUUGACAUCCUUCUUCUCCCACACUUCCUUUAUUACAAAGCUAACAUUUGUCUGGAAGAAAGCCUAAUUUACCAGACUUCACCGUACUCCUUAAGUAUUACCAGUUCCAAGCCCUCACAUGGGAGUUUACUCAGGAUUCAAGGCUCUGUUGCCUUCCUAUCUCCCUACAAUCCCCUUCAGUUAUUUUGUGGUUGUUUCUCACAUGUGCUCUACCAACCAAAGGCAUUUGUGUUCCAAAACGAAAUGUGCAAGAUGAAUUAUCUCUACAGUAAAGGGCUAAAUCUUUACAGACUAUCAGACUUCACAGUAUUUUGGUGGCUGUAGUGGGAAAGGCGUUUCAUGAAUACUUCAAAUAAAUCCAUAGAAUGUUUCUAAAACUAUUCCAACUCUUAGCCUUUCUAAUUUAAGGGCAUUUUCGUACUUCACAAAAUGCAAUCUGCACGUUCCUAUUCACUUCACGCAAAAUAAAAAUUUUACAUCUGUUGAGGUGUUUCAUUUUGCUGUUUUACACAUCUGUUGUUCUGUGACCCUUCUUGUUAGACCCACUUGUCACCAUAUGUGGUCAUAAUAAAAGACAUGAGAAAUAGGUUAAUUGAACAUUUAUAGCUGCCUUCAAAAAGAAUAUAUCCACUCCCCUCCCAGUCACGGUUUAUUUUGGGAGUAUAAAAUCUCCCUCUCUCUUUCUUUGUGUUUUAUUUUCUCUGAGUGUGGCAGUGUGAGUGAGUUUUUGUGUCUCCAUGGACUUCUGUGUGUGUGUGUCAUUACAAAAUUAGUAAAAACCCAUUUGAAAACAUUGUUGCCAACAUGAAUAAUAAAUUGUUGCACUUUGAUGGAUUUUCUUAGAAUGUUGUGUAUAUCCACGAUAAUGUGUGCACCAGGAUAAAUACAUUAUCAUAGCAAAUGCUUCUAAAAUUGCUGAGUAAACCAUAACAUUCAGUUUGACUUAAUGGUCACAUUGUUUUAAUUCUUCAGACGUUCAAGAAAUUGUUUCUCUUUAACUGAGCUGUGUGUACCUCUCUUUUCAGCAAACUUUUUCUACUUUCUCUCUGGCCAGUCCCUUAACUAGCUAAUGAACCAAUUGUUUUAGACAUGUAAGGCAGAAAAGUUUGCAGAAAUAUUUCAUAAAAAUGUGAAUUAUAUGCUUCAAAUGCUAAAAGCCAGCAGGGAAACCCCAGAUUUCCUUGCAAAACAGAGAGAUUACCAUUGUGCAUUAAAGUUUGAUGAAUCUGAGUGCUCAGAAUACAUCUUCAAACUAUUUUCUUUUCAUUUGAAGAGAAUAGAUCUAGUAAAUGACAUAUCAUGAUAUAUUAAAUAAUAUUCUCUAAGUAUGCCAAGUUCAGAAGUUCAUACCAUCCUUUAUGAUCUAGUAGUGGCAAGUAUAUUCGUAUUUUUUUAGAUUACAUAACAUCAUAGAAAAUACCUUUUACUAAGUUUACUAGCUGAUAUGUAAUAACAUUACCAAACAGAAACCUGAGAAAAAUCUGGAGGAUAUCCUCAGGUAUGUCUUCUUCAAACCUAUAUGUUACUAACAGGUUGGGGACCAGUUAAUGGAAAAUGACUUCAGUGAGGGUGAAGGACAUUUGAAGAUAUUCUCAACUCCUUGGAUUACAGGAAACAACAAAGGGGUAUCAAAAGUGAUUUCCAACCACUCAAAGAUGGAAUACAUACAAUCUUACUAGAGCAUGUUUAUUAUCUCUCAGUGGAUCUUUGCUGACCUUAUAUUCUCAAGUGACUUAUGAAAGAAAGAUAAUUUGACACAAUGUCAAACUUUGAAGAUAGAGACUGCCCAAUCCUAUGCUCUGUGCAUACUCAGCAGUGCUCUUAUCAAAUAAUCAACUUUUUAGAGUAGUAAGUUAAUUUUCUUCCUCCUUAUGGGCAGAGAACACAUGCAUGUCAUCUUUAUAUAUCCUGUGCAAGUAGUAAAUGUUCUAAAAAUGUCUAUUUUUAGGUAACAAGUAAGAUCAUGAACCAAGAUUCAGAAAGGAAAUUACCCUCUAGGGCAGGAAGGGUAACAUGACACGCAGGCAGCCCCUUCCCAGUCCUCUCUUCCAACACACAUUGCUACUUGGAAUUCUUUGCUACUUAGCCCAAUUACUGCCUCCAAACAUCUACUAUCAAUUCAUCAGAGUUGGUAUGUAAGGAAUACUUAUCUGCCUACAGAGCUUUAAGAAUGGCUAGCUGUUUAAACCAGGGUUUGAUGUAAAAUACAGGCAAUCUCUAAUUUGGGGUGAGGGGGAUUCACGGCAGCAAUGGCCAACUAGGGUUUCUCAAUCCAUUACUCAAAAGACUAGUAACUCAUUGUCUCAAAUUGAAUUCCAAGUGGCUGCUCCUCAGGAAGGCAGGUAUGCCAACUACCCAUUUACUGGAGGAAAAUAGAUUCCUUUUAAUGAGCACUCUCAGAAAGGAUGGAAAAAAGCAAGACCGUUGAGUAUUUUGGGGAUCACUUCUUGGAGUUUUUCACUGGGUUACUGAUCUUGAGUUGAAGGUUCUUGGAUUUGUGGUACUUUGGUGCUCUAAAGCAUCCCCUUUAAGUGUUCUCAUUCUAAUCUUCCAGCAGGCUCUACCUGCAAGGCACCCUGUAUUCCAGCAACUUAAUUGGUGAAAUCUAGAGAAUAAAUUGAAGAUCUUCAUGCUCAAAAUGUAUUCUUUGAUCAAGAGAAAUAAUAAAUUAGACCUCCAGUUUUUAUUCUAGAGUGUCCAAUUUUUUUCUAUCAGGAAAAAAGAGGAGAGUAGGUUCUGUGAAGAAAUCAUAUUCAGGAAUAGAAACUUAAUAUUCUAUCUUGUGUUUCCUGGAGCUUGAGGGCAACAACAGGGUGCAGGAGAGUGAGAAAUUCCAAUAUAAUAGAAGACUUUCUGGUUGCAAACUCUUCACCCCUUGAACAAUUAAGUGUCUCAUUCUUUCUUAAUGCAGAAAUUCUCUAUCCUGGCAACUGAAAAAUACACCCAGGCUGAACAGGUAGCCUACUGAUAGAUAACUAAUUAGCCCCUGCUAACCAAAGUGCUAAGAGAAUAAUACCAUUGUUUGAUUUUUAUAUUGAUAUUCCAUUCUAAAAAAAAGUGUCUCCAAUUUGCAAUAUAAUAUUGUCCAAUUAGCAAAUAAUAUUAUCUAUGAUUAGCACUUGAUUGACACCUGUCUGAUUUAUACUUCUUUGGCGCCCAGUUUUCCAAUAAUAGUAAAACAAUCAAUGUUCUAUAAUAGAAAUCUUGGGGGCUAAAAUGUUAAGUAAAUUUAUUUAUAAAGUAAUAAACCCAGUUUUAUUUAAUUACUCUAGUAUCUAAUAUGUCUGAAAGGCAUAAAGAUGAAAGCAAAACAACAAACUUAUUUCUUUUAAUUCUCAAAAGUAUUAAUUAAAGCAAUGGAUCUUCAUUUAGGAUGCUGACUUAGUUAUUGCACUAAAAAACUCUUUUCUGUAAGCAUAAUUUACUAUUAACUCUCAUUUUUUAAAUGUUCUAUGAUGAAGAUAUUUUCUAUCAUCAAAAGGAAAUAUGUUAAAUAAGAAAAAGAUUUUGUACUUGAGUGUAAUUAUUAGAAGUGUGCUAAUAACAUAAAAAUAUUGGUGCUAUAUCUACACAUGCAGACAAAUUUGAGUUUAGGCAAAUAGCAAAUUACUUUAAAAGCCAUCACCUAUCAAAUUUUUUUCCAGGUUGGCUCAUGUGAACAACCACAGUCUCAGGUAAAAUUUUUUUUAAAUUAUGCACAAACAGAUGUGAAAUUAUCUGUGUUUAAUUCCUCGAAAAGGAUGGAUACUGUUAGAGCAAUAUAUUUCAGAUGAAUCAUUUCUCAGCUAUGAAUUGAAAAUAUCUCCAUUGUAUCAGCCUUUUUAAACCUUUUUAUCUAAAAAUUUCAUCUUUGAGUCAGAUUUCUCCACUCAUGACACAUUCUGAUAGUGUCUGGCCUACUUCUACAGCUUAAAGAGUGUUCAUUAAAAUGAAAUACAUUAACAUGUAAGCCACAGAUGGGGAAGAUAAAAUUGCUUUAAAUAACUACCAAGGAAGUAGGUGUAAAUGAAAACAGUUAUAAGUUGAAAAUUAAUUCAGGCAUUAAUACUUUGAUACCAGACAGAUUUCAGGCUCGGCAGUUAAUUAUUCAUUCUAAAAUGCUUGAAAUAGCCUUAUUAUUUAAAGACAGAAAAACUUAGAGAUAAGACUGGUCAUUCAAAAAGAGGCUAGAUAUGAAUCAAAAGUUAAGAUAUUUUGGCACUUGCUGUUAAUAAACAUUUGUUAUAGUAAGAAAUGCAGUUCAAAUAUAAUCUUAUUUCUAGAAAGUAUAUACGCAGUGGAAUUUUUAAUAAUAGAAGGAUAAAAGAAAGAAGCAGGAAAUUGCCUUUUUUUUUUUUUUUUUUUUACAUGUUUACAAGCUGCCUCAAUUUUUCUGUGGAAGGAAAUAGAAUGUAAAUAAAUAAAAUCUGUGCUAAAAAUUUGAAGAAUAGAAAGGUCUCUAUAUGUCCCUAUUUAUUUAGGUCAAAUGCAAAGAAAUGUCUUUUCCUGGCAAUGCCAUUUCUCUGCAUUGUCAAGGGAUUGGGCAGUUUCAAUUGCUGAAUUCUCCUGAGAAUAUGCUGUAAGGCAAAUUACACUUUUGCCUACUUACAGAGUCAAAGAAAAACCAGAGUUGGGCAGUAGUUAAAGCAGUAAACACAGAUUUUAUUCAGGAACUAGUGCAAGAAGGAAAAGAGACUUCAUUAUGGAAGUGAGCUCAAUUCUGAAUAUAGUGUGGAAUAUAUAAUGUCAUAUAUACAAUACUAUAUAUACAAUUCUAUGUAGGGAGAGACUAUACAGAGACUAUACAUAUAGAAUAUUGUAUAUACAUAUAGAAUAUAUUCUUCUAAUAUAUUACAGUCUAGGCUGUGGUCUCGGGAGCUAGUGCAGGGGCUGACCGUGGCCACAAGGUAGUAUAUGGAAGGAAGUAUGAAUUUGUGGGCCUACACAGGUUUACAACCUGAAUGAGAGUUUGGUUGUUCUAUAGUUUUAUAUCUGUGAUCCUAGUGUCCAUAUAUAUAUAUAUAAAAAUAGAAGGGCCACAGGAUAAGAAUCAGUGGAAGAAAAAUUACUAAGGGAAAACAUUAGAGUUAAGGAAGGUGUCUGGUUAAACAGACCUAAUAAUAUUCUUGCUAAAGGCAGACCAGGUGAUUACAUAUCACCUGGGGAAGAUAAGCAAUUAAGAAUUUGAUCAGAUAUCAAGUGAUGAUAUGAAGAGUGAGAGAUUCUCUCCAAUCUAACUGAGCAAGAUUCCUGCUACAACUAGGUGCUUCAGGUGCAAAAAGGAAAAAAUGCCAAAGUCGAGGCCUAUAGGGCUUAGGAGAAGCCUGACUUUAGUUAGAUCAAGGAAAGAGUCUUUGUCAAUAUAUAGUGUAUUCUAAAAAGAAGAAGGAGAAAGACUGUUUUUAAUUAAAGAUAUAGAAAUUUUCACACUUUGGGCCCAUGCUUUGCUACUAUGCACAUGAAUAUGAAUGGAUUAUUUUUAGGCUCCAAACCCUUUUGAGGAGGUGUAUUUUUUAAAUGAAGUUACAGAAGAAAUGUUUAAGAUCAUCUUCCCAAGAUGGCCAAUGGACUUUAUUCAGGUAUAAAAUCACAUCAAUUGGAGUCUCUGCGCAGCCCUAAUACUGAAAAGGGUUUUGAAACUAACAUCCUGGCCAGCAGGAAAGAGCACCGUGAUUGAUUAGUGAUGUCUAGCAUGGGUGGGAAAGGGAACACUAAUAAAUAUGUUAUUUUCCCUGAUUUAAAUUUUUCUUUGUAUAGCUGGCUAAACAAAGUUAAAUAAGUUACCUAAGAUCUUAAAAAUAAAUAAAUGCAAGAAAAGAAAAGACUCCAGGUAUCCUGAUUUGCAGUCUUUGUUUUAUAUAUCACACUGAAUUUACCUGAUUUUAUUUUUUGUGUACAUAUUCAUAUACUAGAAACAUUUGUGUGUAUACGUACAUGUAUGGCUGUCUGAAUAUGCCUUCGAAAUAUUUAACCAUGUGAAUAGUCCAUUAGGCCAUUAUUUCUCAAUUUCCGGUCUCAUUAUUUAUUUAAAAGUAAGAGACAGUAUGAUUGAAAGUCCCCCAAAACUACAGUAUGUUUGAUUUUUCUUUCAUAAUUGUCUUUAAUGGAAUCUGAUAUUUUCCAGAAACUUUUAAUGUUCACAUUUUUGAUGAAAUGAAGAUGAUUGUAAAAUAAUCAUGCUUGCAUUUUUGUGUUAAGGUAGGAGAAAUUCCACUGGCAAUCCCGAUGGAAUAUGCAAUGUUACUUAAGUAUUUAUAAACAAUAUCUAUAGAAAUUAUUCUUAAGAGCAUAAAAUGUAGAGUACCAUACUAUAUUACACUAAAUUCUUUUUAUAAUGCUGGUCUCGGAGACAACAUAAUGCCCAUGAUGUAGGUGUUCUAAGUUAUUCUCAAGAGAUGCAUUAUACACUUAAAACAGAGAAUACAUAGGGCUGAACUCAUAGCUUGCCCAACUCUAUCUUGCUCAUAAUUUGGCAUGUUUCAGUGUUGUAGAAAGAAACUAAAUUCCUUAAAUCCUUUCCUACAAUUUGACUGUUGCCUUUAUCCUAUAGGUAGAUUUUCCUACACCAAGGAAAAUUGUGGUCCAAUUUAUCCUACUAAGUGAUCUAGAUAAGGAGCGGAAUGUGGAUGUUAGGAGGAAACUCCUAGACACUAGUCUAGGCUGUGGUCUCAGCAGCUAAUGCAGGGGCUAACCAUGGCCACAAGGUCAUAUAUGGAAGGAAGUAUGAAUUUGUGGGCCUACACAAGUUUACAGCCUGAAUGAGAGUGUGGGUGUUCUAUACCUGUGAUCCUAGUGUCCCUGCCUGAAGGGCUGGAUUCAAGUCUGGAGCAGUAGACAGGAAAAAAAAAAUGGGUAAGUAACAAAGAAGUCAACUCUGAACCUUGCAAGUAUGAGUUAGGAAAGAUCCUUUAAAGAAGUGCUGCUUCCAGGAAGUGGCAGCACUGGGAACUAAUAAGGGAAGGCACUCUUAAGGACACAACAUAGUGUCAACUGUAAAAGAUUAUGCCAUUUAUAGAUCAACACAACUGAAAACAUCUAUGAGUGGCUGGAAAGGUAUAUCAAUAAGAAUGAGAAUGAAACUCCGUCUCUACUAAAAAAUACAAAAAAACUAGCCGGGCGAGGUGGCGGCUACUCGGGAGGCUGAGGCAGGAGAAUGGCGUAAACCCGGGAGGCGGAGCUUGCAGUGAGCUGAGAUCCGGCCACUGCACUCCAGCUUGGGCGACAGAGCGAGACUCCGUCUCAAAAAAAAAAAAAAAAAAAAAAAAAAAAAAAAAGAAUGAGAAUGAAAUUAUCAUAGAUGGAGAAGCUAAUCUGUGCUGAACUUGGAGGAUCCUCACAACACAUGAGCGGCAAAGGAUGGUGAGGCUAAAAAAACUCAAAGACUGUCUUCUCCACCAUUUGGACUUGGACGGUAGAAAUGAUUGCCCACAAUGCUGUUAAAUUCAUGAAGAAUGGGUGAUUUAUAAUAUAGCUUACUUUUGCCAUCUUACCAUAUAAAUGAGGAAGGAAGUAUAGAUCAUUGGAAACAUUCCUUAUUAUUCAAUUAUGCACUCCAGAUCCUGGUAUGUAAGUCCUGGCACAGAUUAGACAUGCAUUCAAUAGAUUUCGACUGAAGUUUAUUGAACACUUGCUAUAUGCCUGGCUCUAUACUAGAAGCUUGAGCUUUCAAUGGCAGUCAAUUGUUGACAGGGUCUCUCCUCCCACUCACCUAGGGGAUAUGAAAUAAAUAUUUAAAACAAUCCAUGAAAGAAUGUUAUUCAGACAAGGUAGAUAUUAUAUGACUCUCCGCCUCUCUUCAAUCACUACUGGAAUUCUCUAUGCAGUGCUUAAGAGCAUAGGGCUUUGGGGUUUAACAGACCCAGGUUUAGAUUCAUCCAGUUUCACUAAUUUUCAAGUAAAUGACCUUGGAAGAUCCCUUUACUGUGCUGUGCCAUAGUUUCCUCAUCUAUGAAAUAAAUAUGUUUUUAAAAAAUAUUUAGAGAGUCUAGUGCUUGGCCAGUUUUGGCUCUCCUUUCCUUCCAGAAGCUCUUGGGAAGAUUUUAGACAAGAUCAUGUGACUUUUUCUGACCAAUGAAAUUUUGAGCAAUUUUGAGUGUGGGACUUCUGUGCCAAAGCAUGGAGGAAUCAGUGCAUAACACUCUGUCUCUUUCCCCACCAAGCUGAACAAAGAGAACUUUUGUUCUUUCCGGAUAAUACACUAAUAAGACGGUUAAUCUGGUCUCAGAGGGAUAUACAAAUAGCAUGUAGCAUGGCAAUAAAUAAACAUUUGUUAUGUUAAUUCCCUGAGAUCUUAAGGUUGUUUAAGAUCUGAAGUAAUGUCUAAUGUAUUCUGACUAAUAUAUAGGCCUAGAUUAGACAAAAUACUUGAAUUGCUUAGCAUAAUGUUUAGGAUAUAGUAAGCACUCAAUAAAUGCUAGCCUUUGGCUUAGACAUAGAUGGUUUCUCUGAAAACGUUUAAUUUUAUAGCUCUGGUGUCCAGAAGGAUAAAGUUGUAGACACUUCUCUAAGUAUAAGAACUCUCCUGUUCUCAAUACAGGGAAACUAUCAACCUCUAUCCACACAGACUCAUAUGAAAUGACUAGCUCUUUCUUUUAUUUAAAUCACUGUACGUUGACAAUAUUUGCUGUACCAAAGGGGCUCAUGUUAUUCAGCUCUACAAAGUCGCAAAUAAUAUAUAUUUGAAAACAAGUGGUAGCUGAUGUAAGCACCAGAUGGCUCAAACAUAAAAUCAAGGGAGCUGCUUUUAGCUCUACCCCAGGGCUCUUAAAGCCGCCUUCUCAGUGCUCCUUUAUAUGUUGUAGUUUAUUUCUGAAGUGACAAUAAAAUUGGGAACGGCAGAAUGGAAAGGAGCACCACAGCCUCGGCAUGUUUUAACAAUCUGCUAUGCAUAUGAGAUGAAACGUUGCCAUCACUAGAAUCAACAACAUCUUGACACAUGAUUCAAACGUCAAGAAUAUCCAAGAAUGUAAGAUGUCUUUGAAACAGCGACAAGAAGCUGAAGUCAAAUCCAGAUUGGAGCCCAAUGCCUAAAAGGAUCUCAUUUCCUUUUUUCUGAAGGUUGACAAAUUUGUAGAGCACAGAUUUAGCCUUGGGGACUGAACCUCUGAGAGAUCCAUUAUUAUAAUUAUUUGCAUUUGGUGGCAGCAUGGAGGGUGCCUCACUUAGUGUGAAGGUAUCACAGAGAAGUGUUGUGCCCAAAGCAGCAGAAAUGUUGCUGUUCAGAGAAGUUACCAGCUACAGAAAGGCUUACUGUGCCUACAGAAUCAGCCCCAUCUCCAGAAAAUAAGUGAUGGAGCUAUAUUAGUUACGUUUUGAUGCAUAAUAAGUAUCCCCAAAUUGUGCAGCUUAAAACAUCAAACAUGGUAUCUCAGUUUCUGUGGGUCAGGAUUCCAGGUGUGGCUUACCAAGGUGGUUCUAGUUCGAGGUCUCUCAUGAGACUGUAAUCAACAUGAUGGCUAAGGCUGUGGUUUCAUGAGUCCAGAUAAUUUGUUUCCAAGAUCACUCAGGAUGGUUGUUGGUAGGAAACCUCAGUCUCCCACUAUGUGGACUUUUUGAUAGAGUUGCUCACAACAGUAGCCUUCUUCCAGGCUACUGAUCAGACGUGGUGGGCAGUGGGUGAAGCACACAAGACACAAAUUGCAGUGACUCUUUUGAUUCAGAGCAAAGCUAUAUAGCAGCACCUCUGCCACAUGCUGCUGGUCAGACACACCAAUCCCAGUACAAUGAUGUGAAUACCAAGAAACCAGGAUCAUUGGGAGUCAUCUCAAAAGCUGGCAACCACAGAUGUCAUGGCCGCAUAAAACUGGUAAAGCAGUGCUCUCCCCUGCCUUCUUAUUUUUCUCUGCUGGGUCAGUUUUCAAGAUCUGCAUGAAAUCUUCACUUCUAUCUGGGGCCACACUGAUAUGAAAGAAUAUCCUAUUUAUUAAUCUCUCAUUUUAUAAAUCUUUUGACAUCUGAAAAUAUCUUUCUCUUUCUAUUCUGUUUCUUUGGUGGGCUAUUCUCAUUUCUAAUUUUCUUCAAAUGACAUUAAAGCUGCAAUGUUGUGAGUCCAGGGUUUAGAAGACCUCCUGUCCAACAGGAAAGACACAAGAAUAGACUGUGAGUUGCAGAAACAGUCUACCCCUGUUCCACUCCGGUGACUUUGCUAAAUUGCAAAAUACACAUGCUCUCGUUUCCAAUUAAUUAUCUCCUAACAAAUACUUCCCAGUCUAUUGUCUCUGUCUCUUGACAAAUGAACAGGUUAGAUGGGGAGUACCAGACAACAAGAGAAGGGACUAUUGCUUGGAAUUGGCAGUAAAAUCAACGAAAGAAACUUAGAAGAGGUUAAUAGGGAGCUAUUCAUAAAGGGUUUUCCUCUUCCUACUUUAACUAUAUGGAAACAAAAACAUCAAAACUUUCUGGAAGAAAAGGAAUUUGGUGGGCACAAUUGUCCCCCAAUUCAAUAAGAUCAUAAGUGCCAGAAAUUUUUUUUAAAAAAUAAAAGCAAAAGCAACUUGAACAGUGAUUAGAGUCUCAAACUAACUUGCCAGCCUCUCUCUACUUUUACAUCAUUAUGGUCCAUCUCAAUUUGUGGCCUGAUUGGGAGCUAGAAAAGAUAUAUAGAGGUGGCAACCAAUAGGGUACCUCUUUAUAUAGGAGACUGACAGUAGAUAAUGCAGGUCUUAACCUACAUUGUUCUUGUUCCUCAAGUCCUCAAGUCCUUCCGGCUUUCUUUUCUACUCAGUUACACUGAGGGCCACCCCUUACCCAAUACCUUAUAAGAAUCACUGCUUAAGUGUUGAGUACCCAGGCUGCAGAGUCCAGACCCUCUUUAUUUGAACUCUGACUAUGGCACUUACUAUCUAUGUCGCUUUGUACAGGUAGUCAAUUUCCAUAUGCCUAGUUUACGUUUCUUUAGUAAUGAUGAUAAUAAUAGUACUGCCAACUUCUCUGGGUUGUUGUGAAGAUUAAAAGGGUUAAUGUGUUUAAAUCACCUAAAAUUUUAUCUGGCGUGUACUCAGUGCACACAUACUACUAUCAUCACCACUUUUAAAUACCUAUAUGCCUUCUUUAUUUUUUGGUAAAAUUUUAAGGUUUUUUGUUAUCAUAUUUUUAUCUUUAUUUCAAAUAGUUUGUUGUGUGCCCAAUAGAAAGCAUAUGUUAUCUUAUUUAUCUUUGUACCCUAGCACACUGUAUAAUACUUGGCAUAUCAUGUGUAUUCAAUCAGCUUUUGAAUAGAUAAAUGCAUUAAUUAAUAGGUACAUCAAGUUGCUUUAUUCUUCACUGUCAAAUUUUCAUUUUACCCUCUGUUGAAUAAAUGAGUGUUUCUGGAAAUUGUUUUUGCCAUGGAUAUUCCUUAUGUAUGUAGAUUUAAGAAAAGGUUUGAUCAAAUCACCUUUACACUAACUAUAACCAAAGGCUGGUUAUAUAACUUUGUGAUUAGAAACACUUGUGACCAAAGAGCUAUUGUGUCAAUUAAAACAAACAAAAAAACCCCUAUAUAUUACUUUUCCUUCUGGUAGUUUACCUCUUGUCUGCUUAUCAGAUACAGAUUUCUUUCCACAGAUAUAACCAUUUGAACCAUAGAAAUGGUUGAGCCAUAAUAUUUCCAAGUUGGAUUACAUCAUGGAUAUCAUAUAUUUAGAUUGCUAAUUUUACAGAGAGGAAAGUAGCAAAUGAUGCCAAAAUUACACAGCUAAUUAGGAUCCAAAAUAUAGAAAUAUGUGCAUAGGAGGAGUUAAAGAGAAAUUCCAUUCUCACCAAUGCUAGAGUUCUGCUUCAAUGGGCUACUUCUCUACACACAGCCUGAGUUUUCCCCUCGGGCAUGAGUUCUUUCUAUAGAGGCAGCUGCCAGUAUUGCCCUGCUCCUUGUCGCUUAUCAAAUCCAUAGAAAAUAGAAAUAUUGAGAGAUUUGGCAAACAAUGAAUCAUAUUCUGAAAAACAUCACAGUCCUCACACAGCUAAAAAAAGGAAGAGUUAAGAAUAUGGCUCAAGAAGGUAACAGAGAGAGACAGAGUCAAACAGCACAAUAGACAGAGAUAGAAAGACAGAAGAUAUAGAAGACGGUGGGCAGCCUACAAGACUGGAUUUUUAAAAGGAUAUUGACACACUGAAAUCAGCAAAAGGCAUUGGCUUCCAAAGGAGUUUAAUCACCAUGAAGCUAGGGAAGUUCAGGAGAGCAUUUCUUGCCCACAAAACCUAUUUGGAAGUUGCUAUGAAAGCCAGAAAAACCCCUAAAAAAGGAGGGGUAUGUAGGUUGCCUUUAAGAAGCGUAAAGCACCCCUUGUUCCUUCUGUGGGGCUGGUCAAAGGCAGACAAACAGAUCCUGAAUUUCAAAUUUGGGACUUACUUGUUCUCUAAGUCCAGCAUGGGACCUUGUAUCCCACACCACUCCCCAACUACUAGAUGAAGGGCUUCAUUGGGGCAGUUCUUUGGGGUUUUUGUUUUUGUUUCUGUUUUCUGGUUGUUUUUGGUUUUUUUUUUUUUUUUUUGGUUGGGAGCAGGCUGUUAUCUCUCAGUCAUCUAACACAGCACUCAGCAUAUAAUAAUUAAUAGUCUUUCUGGCAUGAAAUAAUGAAUGAGAUGCUUCAUUGAGCCAGCAGCCAAUCAGCUGCUAAAGCAAGAGACCUGCCCAGGCAGCCAGGAAACCUGAAUUCACAUCUCAGUUUUAGUGGAGGAAAGAGCCCGGAAAGAGUUUAGAUUAAGUUGCUCAAGGCUGCAUAAUUAACAAUCCACAGAACCAGAACUGGGGUAGAUUUCCAAGUUUCCAUUCUUUCCACUGGACCUGCUGUAUUCUUACAAAGUAAAUUGAACCUCAGUGGAAUUAUAAACGAUUCUCAAUGAUACCAUUUCAUCCAUAGCUACUGAGACUGCCUCUCCCCCAUCCCCCCAACAAUCUCCUACACUGGGCUGUCAGACAGGAGAUAAUAAUUAUACUGUCUAAUACAUAAUGUGUAUAUAAUCUGUUGAAGUUACAUUAAUAAUAACUACUAACAUUAUAAUGUCUUUUAUGUGCCAGCCACUAAGAUCUUUACUAAAAUUACUAAAAUCUUUACAAAAAUUACUUCAUUUUCACAAUCACCUCAUGAGUCAAGUUAUUGUUUUCCCUCUUUUAUAGGUUAGUAAACUGUAGCCCAGAGAAAGUAUUUAAUGUACUCAAUGUCACCACUGUGAGAUAAAAUAGGCAGAUAUUACUUAGAUUUUCUCACAAUCUAAGUUUUGAGUGAAAAAGUGAAACUCAAAGCAUUUGUGACUAGACCAAAAUUACCAAACUAGUAAAUGACAGUACCUGUUCCCAAACCCAAGGUUUCCAGCUUCAUCAAAAAUAUGUUUUUUCUCCUAUCACCCUUGCCCCUAGACACUUUUGAUGCAAAACUAAUAUUAAUUUAACAAAAAAAUAUACUACUUAAAUGAUUUAGAUAAAUAAACAAUGAACAGAUAUUACUUAAAACAUAUACUAUUUCAGCAAAUAGUUGAAAUAUUUAGUGAGCUGGAUGGAACGGAAAGCCUACAGGUUAGAGAAAAUCUCAAAAGUAACUGCAUUUUGCAAGGCAAUAUCUAGAUAAGGUUGGUUUCUGGCAGUUGCCUCAAUGAAUGCAUCUUCCUCAUACACAACUGCAGGGGACCAGGGAAGUCAAGCAAACAAAUAAUGUUUAAAAAAAAAAAAAACUAUUUUUACUUCUUAUAAGGCCUAAAACCUCGUAUGAUUUUAAAGGCUAAACAUUCUAUCCAACUUAACCACUUAGUGCUUUUUCCUGGAUUCAUUUCCCAAGAGUUUAAUGUUGUGUGCAUAAGAAUCACUGUCUUCACUGAAAGAUGUAAUUUGGUACAAGUGGUCAUAACUGAGAUUUUUCUCAAACGGAUAAAUUUAAGGGGACUAUUAAAGGUCUUUAUAUUAAUAUCUACUGGAAGAUCUAGACCAAGAAAAACCUAGAUGUGUUGAUUGUGAUACCAGUUUGUUCUCUAAAAUCAAACUUUACUGAAAUCACAUAUUUCUUUUAUGUAUGUACAGUGAAUUGUGCAAUUAGGACACACUUAUGUCCAACUCAUUAUGCCCUCCCACAUUAUCUUUCUUUCUGUUGAUAAGGAAUCGUUUUGUAACUAAAUAGCGGGAGAAUAAAACAUUUAAAAUUAUGGUCAGGCACAUAUCUUGGUCAGACUCUACUAUUUCAAUUUGCAUAAUAGAAAUUGCUUUAACUUUUUAAGAAAGAUUUUAUAUGUAGAUCAAGCUGAGACUUUCAUUGGCACUUCGUAAUAGAACUCUUACCAUCUUGAGAUCUGAUUUCAACUAUAAAAAUGUUUCACUGGGACGUGUGAGUCACUACUCUCCAUGAAUCCUCCUGUUCCAGCAGAUUUUGGGGGAUUGUCAUAAGCACAUAUGUAAGUAUGUACAAAUGUCCACACCAAAACAUACAUAUUUGCAAUUGUACAUGUGUUUUUUCAUUUAUCUAGUAAAUAUUUACUGAGUACCUACCAUUUGCCAAGACUGUUUCAGUUAUUGAGAAUAAAAUAGUAAAACAGUUCCUGACUUUUUGAAGCUUACAGUCUACUGAGAAAGACGGGAACUACAUAAGCAAAAGUGGCUUUUCAUGUCAUAUGUACAUACUUAUAUAUCACAUACACACACAUAUGUAUGUGUAUGUAUGUAUUCACCUUAUGUUCUGCUAUAUAUACGUACACACAAUUGUACUUGUUCAGGUCAGUCUGAGAGAGAGUGGCAAAUUUUCCAAAGUUAAAUGUGCUCCAGAAUUGGUUGGCUCAGGAAAAAUUGCUUGUGGAGCUCUUGAUCUUUAUUCACUUGCUCUCAUUGCAUCAUGGAGUUAUGAGGAGCAAAUGUUAUCAUAGGAGUGACAUUAUGAUACCACCUGCCCUGGCAUAUUGCUAAAACCACGUGGCUCUUUCUGAUUUGUCAUAGUUAGAGUAAUGUUAUUGUGGUGAAACAUUGCAAAGAUUUUCUUCUUCAUUGUCACUCGACUGGGAGUGAAAAGGUCAGACUUCUAAUUCCAUCCCUGCAGAAUACUGGCUGUAUGAUUUGGGCAUAUCACUGUAUCUGCUGGGGCUUCGUUUUCCUUCUCUAUAAGAGGAAGUGAUGGAAUCAGAAUACCUUCUAAAAUGUCACCGGGCUGUAACAUCCUCUGCCUCUAGCUUGAAUCAUUUACCUUAGUACCUCGCUGUUUAUGCCCUGUCAACAUCUCAUAUUCUUAACAGCGUGGCCUAGUACAGACUGUGCCGUUGCUAAACUUGUCAACAAGCUCGUACCAGCAAAGAAUCCAUCGACUUCCCCUUCUGGUGUUGUCUGUCACCAGCCUGGACAGAGCAUAUGAUUUGAAUAUGGAAACUAAGGUUUACUACGGCAGUUCUCAGAGAGGCUUUUUCCAACACCUUGACCAUGAGAGGUUCCCCUGCUUCAUGCUUCUGAAGCACAUUGCACUUAUUUUUCAUAGUUCCUACCAUACUGUUAUCAUAGAAGUACCUUGGACUUAUUUUUCACAGUUCCUACCACCAGGACUUAUUUUUCAUAGUUCCUACCAUAUUUCCCACCAAUAGUGUCAAUUAUGUAAUUGUUUUGUUGUUUUUAUUUAAGGUCUCCCUUACAGUACAUUUUACAGAGAAUUUCUUAUUCACUCCUGUAUCAACAGCACUUAGAAUAGUGUCAGGAAAAUGGAAUACACUGAAAAGGUGUAUAUAAAAAGGAAUAAAUAAGUCCAGAAUAAUCUGAUUUGUCAAUGUGGCAAUGAUCAAGCAGCUCUUCUGUAGGAAAGCCUCCGUGGUCACCCUUCAUGGCUUUGCUCCUGGCCUUUGGUAUUUUUUCUUAGCUGAGACAAUAGUACAGCUGACCUUUGGCAGGCCUGCUUUUCUGCUGGCGUUGGUUUCCCAGAAAGCUGUAUUGUUGCUACAUUGCUUCAAGUACAGCGCUGAGACAACUGUAGUAGCACAUAUUCUGACAGUCCGUUCUGUUCCUGCUGUUCCAUGUGGAAUCUAUCCUUACUCACCUGACUUACAGAAACUGCAUGAGGUGAAACUUCCUUUAGUGCCUAUAACGCAUGUCCUAUAGCAUCCUUCGCUGUCAGAGAGUUUGCCAUUGUAGACCAUUUCAUGCUGCUCAGCAGCUCAACUUACUAUUUAUAUAUCCCCAAAAUGUAAAGCCAAUACUCCAGCGAUAUCUGUCUUCCACCCUCAAGCUGCCUUUUUAUUACUCAUUUUCAACUUCUUUAUUUGUCAGUCGUCUAAAAUGUACUGCUCAAAUGAGGCCUAAGGAUGGCUAGAAAUUAAGGGCUUUCUUCUAUUAUGUCGGUAAUUGUGGACCCAGAUCAGAAAUGAGAGAUACAAAAAUUGGUAUGUCUCUGUAUAUGCCAGUCACUGUGCUAGAUCUCUCAUCUUGGUUAUUUUAUAUAUGUAUACACACACACACACACACACACACACACAUAUAUAUGUCCCCGCUUAAAUCUCAUGUUGAAUUGUAAUUCCCAAUGCUGGAGUUCAGGCUGGGUGGGAGGUGUUUGGGUCAUGGGGGCGGAUCCCUCAUGGCUUGGUGCUGUCUUUGCAAUAGUGAGUGAGUUCUCAUGAGAUCUUGUCUUCUAAAAGUGUGUGGCUCCCCGACCUUCACUCUCUCUCCUUUGCUCCCGUUCUCACCAUGUGAUGUGUCUGCUCCCGUUUUGGCUUCCACCCUAAAUAAAAGAUCCUUGAGGCCUCCCUAGAAUCCAAGCAGAUGCCAGUGCCAUGUUUCCUGUAUAGCCUGCAGAACCAUAAGCCAAUUAAACCUCUUUUCUUUAAAAAUUACCCAGUCUCAGGUAUCUCUUUAUAACAAUACAGUAACAACCUGAUACAGAUUCCAAGCAUUAACGACAUACCUCACAUGACUAAGUCUUCAUAAGAGUGUCUAUAUGAAUUUGCCAAAUCCCCUUUUAGAUUCAGCAUGUCAAAUUGAUGAGUAAUGUGUUGAAUCUGUGGAAUGGGUAUUUCAAAGCAUCGGGUCUUUUGCCAACCCCUUGGAAAUCUGUCAAAACUCCAGCCAAAAAAAAAAAAAAAUCAGAAGCAAUAACUAAAAGCCAUUCCUCUCUAUAAUCAUACAUGAGGAAGAAUUGUAAAGAGCUAACAGGUUGCAAUUCAGUUCCUGUGAGUAAUGAGGGUUUUCUAGAUAUAAGGAAAUAAACAGUCCAACUCUUAAUUACCAGGUGUCUAGGCCCUGUCUUUCUUUGCAUGGCAUCAAUACAAUGGACUUUUAUAAACCUAUCAGUUUCUUUUGGAAUCUUGUAUCCUCGACCACAUUCCCUUUAUUUUUAUUUACAUUCUAAUUUGUAUUAGAGAGAAAACCAAGUGAGUUUGCUGAAAACUAAGACAUUUAUUCUUCUGUGAUAAUGGAAGAAAAUAAUACCACACUCUCAUCAGAUCUUUUCCAGAGAUUAGUAUCUAUACAAUGAUGAAAGUCAGUCUUUAGCCUCAGAGCGCUGUAUGAAAUAUUCACUAAAACCCAAAGUUCUUCAAUGCGCUUUUGACUUAAUGCUCUAUUUACUGAAGUAAAUAGAAACAUUCCUAUAAGUCUGGGAUAAACAUUUCGGUUGGCUGUAAUUCAUAGUUUGGACCAAAAUACUUCCAAAUUGUUCUUUCAAAUCUCAUCUGGUAGGAAAAUAUAUUGGAGUAACUUUGAAUAUAAGUAUAAAGUUAUUUUAUUAAUUUUAUUAAGCAUAGAAAUGCACCAGUUGUCAUUAGUACUUCUUUUUUACUACAGGUGAUGUUUUUCUAACUCAAAACAGAAUUGGCUUUUGAUUAACUGAGAGGAUGUUUUUACAUUCAAAGUAGUUUUGACCUAUUAAGUAUGGCAAUAUUUAUACUGUCUUGGGAUACUUACCAGGAUGAUAAUAAACAUGCAUCUUUUCUUAGUUUUGACAUUGGACUUUUUCUUCGAAAGAAUACUGGUGGUAUAUGCAUAUAGAGAUACUUAUAGGAACACUGUAAUCCUUAGCCCUCUGUGAAUCUUCCUUUACUCCAUCAUGUGCACACACCUACUCAAGCACCUCCAAACAAUAGCUUCAUGUAGGGACAAAAACUUCUUCUGCAAAAUAAAUGCAGUCUAUCUUGCGCAUUUGUUAAGUCAUAGUGAAAUUUUGAUUGCCGAGUACAGCUAAUGUUUUCCUUUGUAGGUUUCCUUUGCAAACAUUCAGAAAUAUUAUUUUGCAAUCCAUUUAAUAGAUUAAUAGAAAUGGUUUUCUGGAGGAAAAAAAUUACUUUUAAAGCUGAAUUAUAUGAUAGUCACUUAUAAGAUGAAAUAUUCAUAAUGCUGUGAUGAUUUUAAAGUAAUUUCAAACGGAACAUAAGCUAACAUUUAUAGAGUGAUGCUUAUUUGCUAGGCAGUCACUGUGCUAAGUGAUUUGUACGCAUUGUCUCAUUCAACCUCACUACAAUGUUGAGUGGUAGAUAUCAUCAUUAUCUCCAUUGAAUAAAUGUACAAACUUAGAGAAAAUGAGUGGCUUCUAAGUAUUGGAGCCAGGAUGUGAUGCUAAGUAAGUUUCCUCCAGAAACUCUAUUAUUAACCACUGUGCUAAACCAUCCUUUAACAAUAACCAUGUGAUGGAAACAAAAGUAACCUAGUGAAGCAUUUGAACCAACUAUUAUAAGCUAUUAGUAAUAUAUAAGAAAAGUGAAAGCCAGAGCUUCGCUUAGAGUCACACACCUAAGAUCAACAGAUGGGAUAGAAUCUGAGUCUUCUGACUGCCAGGACAGUGCUGUCUGUAUUAGACAGUCAUAACUUGUGGCCUCUGAUGUUAGCUAUAAAUACAUGAAUGCUCACAGAUCAUGCAUUUCUUCUGCUUAGGGCGAAAGUGUGAUUUCUAAAUUGUACUCCAUGCACAAAGUCUCUGCUAUUCCAGUGCUCUAAGAGACUUGACGUUUACUUUAUGGGCCUUCUCAUAAAGGUGAAAAGUAAGGGUCAUCUUCUUUGCCUUCUGUGUCUAACUUAGCUCACAGUUUGUCUUCUGAGGCUUCAUCAGCACUAACCUUGGUCAUUCCAGGGCAACCCACUCUCAUUCUACUGUGAAAAUGACAUUGCUUCCAUUCCACAAUGAUUGGGAGUCAGAGCUUUCAGAUGAAACCAUGGCAACCAAAAGGAUUAAUUUCUGCUGUGUCUCAAUAACAUAAUCAUGUUAUCUCUCAACAGUCUAAAAGAUAACUCACACACACCUCUACUGUAUAAUGACACAAAGAUAAAAUAACAACCUAGAAACCAAAUGUAACCUUCCAAAAUACAUAGAAAUGAAAUGGUUUGAUACUGAACAAUUUUAAUAAUAUAUUGUGUGUGCAGAGUUAUAAAACAAUAAUUAAUGUGGUCUAUAGAGAGGGCCAUUACAAAUGUUUCCUUCUUGUAACACAUUGUUUCCUCAAUAUCUUGUUUUAAUAGAAUUUCCUUCUAUCUGGCCAAAAUUACAUUUACUAAAGAAGUAAAAUCUUAUUUUUCAUGAUACCUUAUUUUCCCACAUAACUAUUGAAAAUGUCUGUCUUGGUGAACUUCUCUUCACCUCUGUUUUAUGUACAAUUAAAACUAUCCCUUUGCUAAGGCCAUUCCCCACAGUAAUGCAGUAGCCCACAGUGAUAUAUUCCACCAUUAGCCUUGGCAUGCCCACUCUGACUCUCCACAUAAUGAGACCCAUAAGAAAAUCUCACUGAGGACCUUUGCUGUUGCUCAUCAGAAAAGCCUACUUGGCACCUCAUGAAGAAUAUUUCACUGCUUACAAGUUAGUGACUCCAACGACAAAACAGGAACUCAAAAACCAAUCAAUAUAAAAACAACAAAGUUCUUGAAAGAUAAGUAAUUUAUGGUUAAACUACAGUUUUAACAGAAUAGAGGUUUACAAGUUCAUGAUGCUUAUUUAAUCGUGUAAUUCUGUUACGCUAACAUCCUCUGAACUGUCAGACGAGUUGUCCCUCUAUGGCAUCAGGGCUUAUACGGAAGCAGAUAGCUAUAUUCGGUGUUGGUUUAAAAUGUGAGAACAAGAUUGGAAAAUUGUGUGUAAACUCUUUUCUCCUGCAAAGUCCAUUAUGAUAGAAAUCUCCAGGAAUUAACAUUGAAUUUGCCUCUCCUCCAGUUUUGGUGACAAAAACUAUUCACUUAUUAGCUACCUUUAAUAAAAAGACCCUAUUAUUGAGGAAGCUACUAGUAUUGAAGUCUUAUAUGAUCCCUUGCAUAGGAAUGUCUCCAUUUAAGUAAUUAUAGAUAUAAUGAAUAUCAAUAAGAUAUCUCUUCUGGAAGGUAGAGAAUGGGAUGCUGAGACAUCCUAGCAUAGUAUUUCUCUCAUCUCUACUCCUCAUUACAUGUGUGACUAUGGACAAGAUAUUUAACCUCUCUGUGCUCCAUUAUCUUAUUUGUAAAAGGGGAAUUAAUGCUAGUAUCUACCUCAUAGAGUUGCUGAGGGGAGUAAAUGAGUUAUGUAAAACAUUUAGUUAUGUAAAACAUAUGUAAAACAUUUAGGACUGUGUUUGCUACAUGGUAGGAGUUUGGUAAUUCCCAGAAUUGUAAUUAAUGUAGUUAUAAUAAUGACUUGUUACAACAGCUGUUCAUGUUCAAUAAGUAGUUUCUGAAAUACUGAAUCAAUGAACUCUGAAUAGUGUAAGGAAAUCUAUAGCAGAUUUAUUGGCUCAAGUUAGUUUCAACUAUUACCUGCACUGUAUUUUCUAAGUAAUAAAAUAUCAUUAUUUUCUUUUACAAAAGAGCUUGACUAUAUUAAGCCAGUGGGAUCAUUCUGAUCUGUUUAGGGAUAUAAAGGGAGAAAGUUUAAUUUUAAAUAUUUGUUGUAUAUGUUAAAAAUACUUGCCUGUAAUUUGGCACAAAAUUCCCAUUUUAGGAGUGCAUUUGUCCUUCACAAAAAUUUUAAGAUUUUGAUCUAUAAAUUUAUACUCUAAACUUUUACAUGAAUCAGAACUGUUAAAAAUACUCUGGAUUCUAUAGUUAUCUUCUAGCAACAAAUAUGACUCCCAAAUUGUCCUAGUCCACUUAUGUUGCUGUAAAGGACUACCUGUGGCUAGAUAAUUUACAAAGAAAAGAGGUUUAUUUGGCUCAUGGUUCUGCAUGCUGUGCAAGAAGAAUGGUACCAGCAUCUGCAUUUAUGAGGGUCUCAAGUUGCUUCCACUCAUGGCAGAAGGCGAAAGGGACCCAGUGUGUGAAGGGAUCACGUGGCAAAAGGGAGCAGGCAUAAGCUUCCAGGCUCUUUUCAACAACCACUUCUUGUAGGAAUAGCGAAAACUCACUCACUCCUGAGAUAAUUACGUCAAGCCAUUCAUGAGGGAUCCACUUCCAUAACCCAAACACUUCCCACCAUGCUCCACCUCCAUCACUGUACAUCAAAUUUCAGCAUGGAACUUGGUGAAGCAAAACAUGCCAUAUGCAAACCAUGGCGCAAAUAAUUACCCUAAAACACAAUAUAUUCACCAUGUAAUAGUUGGAAAAAAUCAAUGUCUACAUCGUAGGUAGAAUUUUGUUAUUUAUAUAGUUUCCUUACUCAUGCCAUUCUUCUUUGCUUCUACUUGGUAAGGUUAAAUUUUCCCUUGAGUCUAAUACUCUACUUAAUUUCUUCUUCAUUGUUUCAUAUGCAAAUUUUUCCAUUCACUUCUAUAAGCAGUAAUAACAAACGACUACUGCUACUCACUGUCACUUGGUUGUUUAUAUAAAGUACAGUAUCUUUAAUCCUUCCAAACCCUACAAAAUAGGAACUGUUAUCCAGAUUAGAUAAAUGAUAACACUGGGGGUUGGAAAGAUUCAUUAACUUCCUUUCUACCAUGCAGUGAAACAAUUGGUUAGGUUUAAGAUCUCAUCCCUGUUUUAUCUGAGUCCUUUCUAACUCACUGAACUAUCUCACAUCAAGCAACCUAGCUGACUCAUCAUCUAAUGCCUGUAGCACCAGCUUUUCCCAAUCUCUUUGUUUUGAUCUCACUUUGGUUUCUCUUCUGCUUCAUCCUCAUCUAGCCCUGUGUGCAACCCUGAAUCUCCAAUUCAACCAACAUCUCUAUUCUCAGUUCUUGUGUUACAUAAAAUUACCUCACCAGGAAUUCUACUUUAUCUUGGCCUAUGUGGGGAAAAAAUCUUGGUUUGACUGUGAAGCUGGAAUUAUAGAGUGGAUCCUGCAUGCAACAUAAUUUUUUAUGAAGUAAAUUCCUGUAUUCUUUUAAAAGCCUUUCUAUGAGACAAUGUGGCUUUACAUAAGCAAUUUAGCUCUACAUAAGCAAGCACAAAGAAGAGCUUCGUUCAUUGGGAUAGCUAUUUGUUUCUACCAUCCUUUUAUUGAGAUGAAGUUGUAGUUGUAUGCCACCCGUCUUUUUCAAUGCACUCUCAAAUCAGCAUUAGAAAUUGAAAACAAUGGGAGCCAAACAGUCGAGGAAAUUGAAGAUCACACGUCCAAGUUACUGAACAUAGAAAAGCCUGUUCACUGUCCCAUUAAAUUUAGUUUUCCCAUGAAUAAAUAUUCUGAUUAAGCUUCAACCUUUCAAGCCAUUUUGCUUUCAUUUUUUUGAAUUACAAAAUGUUUUCAUUUGAGUACAUACUCUUAAGUAUAAAUUAAGAUGUAUUAUAUAGCAUUAAACUAAUUUAACAUAAAUUUUAAUUAUUUUGAAGUUCAUUUUUAAAAAUAAAAGUGUAAUAGUCACAAAAAAAUUUUAAGAGACUAUUGCUAGCCCACCAAAAGAACAGUGUUCAUUAGAACAUCAUUUCUCUGAUAUAAUUUUUUUGUUUAAAAUUUUUUAAAUUUUUAUAAAUAAUGAAAUGUGGGGAUAAGAAUGUUCUAAUGUUUUGAAACCUGACAUUUUAUAGUCAGUAAGCUCCAUGAGGCCUGGCAUUUCUAACUGUUUUAUUAGCACCUAUGAUUUCAGCUCGUAGAAUAUUGCUUAACACAUACAAGGAAUUUAAAUAUUAUUUGUGAAUGUAAUAAUUGCUAUCCUUGCAAAUGGAAAAUGGAACAAUUCUCAUAUCGUUAAGUAAUCUAAUACAGACUUGCCUUAGUAAGGUUCUACUUCUCAAUAACAACAAAUCACAAUGUCUGAUAGAUGACUGGACUUUUGAAUUUUUAAUUGCAGCUUGUUAUCCAAUUAAUUAUUUUCCAUUUGAGAAUACCUUUCUUCAAAAGUAUAUUAUUUCAUGCCAGAUCUGUUGUGACUUAGGCUAUGAUCCUGUCAGCUGUCAGCUAGGCUAUCUUGCAUGAUCCAUGGCCCAGAACAGUCAGAAAAGGGUCCAAAGAAUCAGCCCUGCAGAAUGGGACACAUGUAAACUUAGUCUCCCACAUACCCACAAAAGAUGUCUUUUGGACAGCUCAUUUUAUAACUACUGCUAAACUAGGGUUUUAUUACUCAAACCAAUAGUUCGACUAAAAAAGGAAGGAAUGUGAGUUCACUAUUAACUGGAAUUGGUCAUUGCCACUGCCUUUUCAGAGAAAAACCAAGAGUUCCAAAGGGACUGGAAAUUCUUUUUUUAAAGAAGGAAGGGUUGUCGUUUUGUUUGUUUGUAUGUUUUUUGCUUUGCAACAUCUCUUGUAUGUUAUGGGAACAUAGUUGAACAGAGGAGAGUGCCAGAGGCAAGAUUUUACAUAAAAAUCUUUGCUUUUACCUCCCACUGCCACACUUGCUGUGUGGAGUUUUAAGAAUCUAAUCUGGUUUUCUUACUAUUACAGAAUUACAUUAUCAACUAAGUUAAAAAGUAGAUUAUCUAUGUGAAAUGAGAGCUGAAUUAAGGAUUUCAGGCUACUACAUUAGAGUUUCUCAAAAAUGCAAUGUUUUUCUGGUAUUUACUUUAUUCCUUAAGAGAAAUUGUUAAUAUCCUUCAGGAUUGCCAGUGAUGGUGUUUAGUCUUUGUAUCACUGCUACUUUCAAUAUCACCAUCAUUUAACAUUUCAAAAGAAACAGUUCUUUUAAAAAGAUAAGUUUAAAAAUAGAAAUCUUAAAUACAACUAUAUACAUUGUUUAAAACACCAUAGAAUUUAUUUGUUAGAUACUUGCUGGAAAAUUAUAUUGAUAUUCCACUGACACAGAUAUCCUUUGAUUUGCCUGAGACAUAGCCAACAGUGCCUUGUAGGCACACAAAUAUAUUCCAGGUAAUUUAAAACAUGUACAUGUUUGUGUGUAUAUGUGUGAGAUGUAUAGUGGUAUAUGCAUGUGUGUGUAUAUUUACCUUCUACAUAAAAACAUAAAAGCAGACAUAAUUGGUCCCCUAAGUGGCCAAGUUUGGUAGGUACAUUAGCAAAUUUUGAGAUUUUGUCUUUGAAAAGUUAUUUUGAGGCAAUUUGAGCUUUAUCCAUGAUUUUUAUUUGUAGAACAUAUUAAAAAACAACAUGAUUGAAAGACUUUUUAAGGAACUGACAUCCUUUCUCUAAGAGGAAGACAUUCUACAUGUAGGUUUUAAUAGUUUACUACAAGGAAACCUUGUAAACUGCUGAUUGGGAACUCUAAGGGCUUGUCUUUAACCUUAGCACAGCAGAGCUUGAAGCUGUAGUCUAGGAUGUGGAAAUGACUCCUACAUGUUGCCUCAGAAUGAAAGAUGGCCUAAUAUCAAAGUCAGUGAUGGGGUGUUGUGUAAACUUCACAAAAUUGGAUUUUGGUCAAUUGUGUCCACGGUCAGGGAAGUCUUCAUAUCAAAGACCAUCUGUGUAUAUGUUGCAUGACUGUUGAUUGUCUCAUGAGUGUUUGUCUUUUAUGUAUGAUUAAUACACAAAAUGUUUUUCUUUUCUUUCCUUUUCCCUUUUUGUAGAAAUUAUUGAACCUACUACCUCUAGUCCUGUCACAAGUCCAGGGAGCCAGGAAGCCCAAACAGAGUGGGCCACCUAAAUCAGGUGGGAUGCAUCUCCCGUCUCUGCCAUAGUCCCACUCCAUGAAGGCACAGAGAUCCUGGACAAGCCCCCAGAUUUGUGAGAAACACAUUUUCACCCAUCCAAAUCCAAAGAAUGGACUCAGAGACAUGAAAAACAGCAGAAAUGGGACUUUUAAUGGCGGUCUUGCAAGAUCAGGUGUCUAGUAGGCAGGCAUACCUGAGGCAGUUACAGCAGGUAAUUUAUCUCCUCGCAUGCAAGUCCCUCCCCUAGUUCCUCACUGGUCCAGUACUAUCGGGUUACAAUCUUCCUGGACGUCACCUAAGUUUCAUUAUCUCCCUCAUAAGGUUAUACCCAGGUCCCCUUCCUUGCAUGUUUCAAUUUCCCAAUAAUGAAACUUUCUUCCCUUUUAUGGGCUGACCCCUCCUCUACAUUCUGUUCGCUUAUUGUGAUCUUCUGGGUUCAUGAGCCAUGCAGUUUGUUACAUUUUGCCGGCUGGCUGCUGGUACUUAGAUUUAUUAUGCUUUGAAAAUGGACCAUUUAAAAUGUUUUUCUUACAUGACCAAAUAACCAUUGGGCACAUCUAGUUAUAUAUUCAUGUUUCCAAUUAUCUGAAGUUUAAGUAGAAUCAAUUUUAUUUCCUCCUUGUUUAUUUCAAUGUAUUUUGCCUUCAGAAAGUUGGACAAAAAAGUCAAUAGAGUUCCAUACACACAGUAAGAUAUUUAUCAAUGUUUAACUUUUGAAUAUAUAAGUAAUAUGCUUUAUUUCAACAAAUAAUUUUGUGCAAUUUAUAAUACUGUAAUAAACUCUAUUGAGGGCAAACAUAUAAAAGAGCUUUACAUAUAUUUUAUUCUUCUUAUCUGUAGUUAUGCUGCAUGAAAUUUCUUAUUGCUUAUAAUUUUAAGAACAUUGUUUUUUCACUCUCACAUUAUUGCAGAUUUUGGCAUUCUUUGACAUGUCACCAGUGAGUGAACAUACUUGUAUCAACAUAGAAUCAUUGAUAUCUUUAAUUUGUAGAGGGCCCAUAGAAAUCUGCUAUUCUUUAUUUUACAGAUAGGUAAACUAAAAUUUGCUGCCUCUCAAUGACUUUUCUAGGGUCAUGCAGCUCUUGGUAGCAGUCAGGUUACAGAACUAGGUUUCACAUUUUCCAUUUCAGGGUAAAUCCAUUUUAUAACAAAGAAAAUGAUAUUUGGGCCUAUCAUCAAUAUUUCAAACUGUGGAAUCUUUCACACCCCAAAUUGCAUUUUAAAAUUAUGUUAAAAAUAUUACUUCAUAAUAAGAUUUAAAGUUCAUUGCAUUCAUUGAAUCACAAUUAAUGCAUAACAAAUAAUGCAUUAGUUUUAAAGAAAAGAUCCCAUCAUUUAGAAAUAUAAAUCAAUUGUGUAUAUAUGCCAAGUUAUUAAAAAGUUAUGUCUUUAUCAGAUAUCAACUUAUUGUUAAAUGUCUAACGGAAAUGUUUAUGUGUACACACAUGCCUGCACAUUUGUGUAUACAAUAAAUAGAUACAUUGACAAUUUGAUAUUCAUUCUUUGGUAUUAUUUGCAUAUUAACGUCAAUCUUAUUGUGAAAUAAGAAAAAACCUGUGACAAUUUUAAAGACCACAUAAGAAAGUUACAAUACAAUGUUUCAAAUUAGCAUGUUUAAACAUACAGUUGGCUCUCUGUCUCUGUGGGUUCUGCAUCCGUGGAUUCAAUCAACCCCAGAUAAAAAAUUUUCAAAAAAUAAAAAAUAAUAAUACACAAAUUAUAAUAAUACAAAUAAAACAUGUAGUGUAACAACUAUUUAAAGAACAUUUACAUUUUAUUAGAUAUUAUAAACAAUCUCGAUAUGAUUAAAAGUAUAUGGUAGGCUAUGCAUUGGUUAUAUUCAUAUACUACACCAUUUUACAUAAGGGACUUGAGCAUUCAUAGAUUUUUGUUAUUACCAAGGGUCCUCAAUCCAAUCCUCCACAGAUGCCGAGGGACAACUGUACUAUUAUCAUUACAAACAUUAAGUGCUUUUGAGGAUAAAGUGGCACUUCAUCUGAUGUUUAUAAGUUCAAAAAGGUUUACACAGGCAAAGAAGAUCAUUUAUGUAAUGUGAGGAAAUUGAUUAAUUCCAAAAAUCAAGAUAUUACACUUAUCCAAAACUGAAUUUUCACUUUUUAAAUCUUGUUAAAUAAUAAAAACUAGAGUCCUGGUGGAAAGUUCAGACUAAGAUAAAAUAAAGAAAGUGAUUAUUGUCCUUUUUUCAUUUAGAUGACUCUAUAGGUCAUUAAUUUGGCCAUACAUAGCUUUAUUCAUUCUGAUCCUGACCUGACCCUCAUAACCAGAAAAAGCUUAUUUAAAUGAAGCAGUCAUUGACAAUAAUAUAUCCAACAUAAUUGUAACAUAAUUAGCUUAUGACGUGGUGAGUUAAACAAAACUUAACUAUAGAUAAUUUUCUUGAGGUAUAUUUGUAUAUACAGGAGAGAGAUCAUAAAGAAACUGUACAAACUAAUUAUUUUAGUGUUACAUUUGAUUUUUUGAAUUCAUAAAAUACCCUCCAUUCAAUAAGCCUUUUAAUUUGUGUUUCUAAAAUUGAAUUUUAAUUCAAUAAAGAGAAGAACAUCACACAUUAUUUUGAUGGCUAUGAUUGGCAGUUCGAUAAGACUCAGUGUUGAGGUAAGAGCAGGUUAAACAGUUAUUGGCCUAUACAUUGAUUACAUUUAUUAUGGUGAAAUAUUUAAAUUCAGGUGUUUCAAUAAAAUGUGGUACACAUUUUAUUUUGUGGGUGAAUUAUUUUUCUAUCACCAGUAGGUUGCACUAGAUCACGAAUGACAAACGGGUCUCAUUCUCCCUGCCUAGUCUUAUUGAUUGGUAGUGAACAUCUGGUGCACAGGUUAAGAAGGAUCAUGUGGCUGUGUCAGGGCUCAGGAAGAAAUGAUACUGGAAUAAGGUUAUAAUGUUUCUAUCCUCAGGAUUAUAAGCAAUCAUGAGGUCAGGAACUUUGUGUUCUUUGUCACAUUUUGAGUGCCUAUAAUAAUUCCCAGCAUAUGUUAAACACAAAGAUAUAUAUAAUAAUAUAUAUAUGACAUGUACAAUUAUAUAUACAUGUUAUAUAUAACAUGUAUAUUUAUAUAUAAUUAUGUGCAAUAUAUACAUAUGUGCAAGGAAAAGAGGAAGAAGAAUGGCAAAACACGUGGUACAUCUUGGCCUUCUCUGCACUAGGUAAUUGUAAACUACCAAGAUCUGUAAGUCACAAUCCUCAAGCAUGUGUUGAAAUGUAACCUGGUCCAUUUUAAAAAAGAAAUUUCAGAAUGUAAAACAUAAAAACUUGCUUAUACACAUGGAAAGAUAUAAUGAGUCCAACAAAUCCCAACAAGAGGCCUGAUUUUUAGAAGACCCUUCUGUUAGACACCUAAUGAGAGUUCAUUUAGUCACAGGGAAAAUUAUAAACUCUUGCUGAAAACUAACGUUACUUAAAUUUUUUUAAAAAGAGAGAAAACAAAGAAAGUUGAAUUCUGAAUUUUUGUCAAGGUCUUUUUAUGUAUCUUGCUGCCUCAGAAGUCAGUAGUCAGCAGAGGAUUUCUCACUGGUAGGAAAUGGAUUUGCCUUUGAAGCGACUUUGGAUAAAACUGGUUGCCUCCAAGAGAUGAAAAUGAUGGAAGCCAAGAGACCUGGCAGGCAGCUGGGUACUGGGCAGCCCUACAACUAUCUCUACUGAAUAUAUUCCCUAUAGUGAAGUAGUGACCUUCAGGUCUCCUAUGAUUAAGGCAAAUGAUCUUAUGAGUGGUCAUGAGUAUGCACAUUGAUUGGGCUUGGCAGAUUGCAUAAUCAACUGCAAAUUGGCUCUUGGAAACGACUGGCUAUAUCCAGUGAGCAGAAGAAAUGGAAGCAAGGGGAUCUGGCAGACAGCAAGUAGCCAUAGCAGCUGUAUGAGUUACAUUCCCAUAACUUAAUGAUGAGGAGAGCCAAGCCUGGACCUUUCAUAGCUGUGCUUUUCAUUUCUGAUAUUUGGAGGAAUUGCAGGAUGGAGCUGCACACCCGAGCAAUUUACCCUCAGGGUAGCAGUAAAGCAGAGUGAAAAAGUCUUACUUGUAUUGCUACACAUCUUGAAGCAUGAUAUGCGCAUCCCUUUUCUUUAUAUCCAGAAGAAAAGCACAAUAUCUGCUCUACUGAUAAUUGCAAACCAGGCUUCUCUGAUAAAAGGAUAUUAAUUUCCACUUCAUAGAUCAAUAGGCCUUGGGAAGUCAACUAGUCCAUCACACUAUCUUACUACAGAAUCCUUCCCAAACCAGAAGGCAGUGUGUAAAAGAGAUAUAGGCAUGUUUUACAAUAUUAUAAUUUAAUGCUAUAAAAUUAAUCUGAAUACAUGCAGCGAUGAAUUGCUAAACCAUUCCAAGAAAAGAGUCUACUAGAUGACCACUACCUUUCAACUAUUAGAUGAGCUCAUAUUUUCUUGUUUGUAUAUUUUAUUAGACAGAAGAGGCUCAGAGUUACAAAAAAAGUUCCAAUUCAGCAAGUAUUAAUGAACUCAUGUUGAGUUUUUAGUGAUACGCAACAGCCUGUGGAAGCUAUUAGCUCCUAAGUUUUAUUUCAGCAUAUAUUUGUUUCUGCAAUGGAAAAAGCUAAAUGAUGUCUUUUAAGAAUAUAAUUUAGCAUUCUACCCUGACUAAAACAUAGAAGAUACAUAGUUUUGCAACCUGUUUUGAAUAAAACAGAUAUCAAUAAAUGGAAAGGGAAGUUCUAAUCAGAAAACACAAGUGUUAGGUUUUAUUUUACCUGAAAUAUUUGUUUGAUCUAUGUCUCAUCAUCUUUUCAUAUGCUGCAUAUGUUUACAACUGCAGCAUAUUAAAUAAACCUUUUAAGUUGUGUUUCUAAAAUUGAAUUUUGCAACUGUGCAUUUUUUCAUCAUUCUUUCCAUUUAGCUUCUCAAAAACUGUAGAUUAUAUGCUGAAAACACACACGAUGAGUUCGUAAACCAUCACAAUUUAGAAAAACAACGUACCAAUUCUAUCCUGGGAAUCAAUUUUCUUGGAAAUAAUUUAUUCAUCUGAUCUUAUAAAAGAGAUCAAUAACCCUGUUUCAAAAAGUUCCUUAAAUCGUCUUAGAAAAAAGCAUAUUUGAAAAAAAAAACCUAUGGAAUUAUAGUAAAGGCUUCUGUUUAAAAGAGAAAUACAUGUUUUAAGCAAUUUAGAAUGAAUGCUGAUAUUUUUAUCUAUAUUUAUGAUAUACGCACAUAUGUGGUAUAAUUUAAAAAGACUAUUUGAACACAGGAAAUUGUAAAGAUUGUGUGCAUUGCUUACAGUAUGACUGCAUCUCUUUUAAUCAGAAAAGGUAGUUUCUCUUUUCUUAAAAAAUCAAGAAUAGAAACAAUGUCUACCAAUUGAUCAGCACUUACCCGUAUGUAAAAUACUAGCUGGCAUCACUUCAAAUAGAGAUGCAUUUUGUACUGGAAAUUUCAAUAUUAAUAAACUCGUGGCCCAAUUAUUUCUAGUAUACUGAAGAGGGAUAAAGUUAUGGAAAAUGGACACACCAUACUUUGCAUAUCUGAUUCAUAAAUGCUAAUGUUUCAAACAGAAAUCAGAUUAAGCACAUCAAAACCUAAAGCAUUAAUUUGAUUUAUCAAUUUUCCACUAGUGAAAAUGGAUGUUAAGAAAGUUGCAGGUGGCUUAACUAGCUACAAAGGGGUUUCAUGGAAUAUGAAGACUGCUUAAAAAGUAGAGAUUUACACAUUUAUCCCAUUGAUAGGUUAUCAUAGAACUCUAGCAGGAGGAUCAUGAAUUCUUGCCUCGUCACUGAUCUAUUGCACAUCCCCCUGGCUCAGCCAGGCUCUGUAGUGUGAUUUUAGCAGAACAAGAGAUAAUCAAACAUCCUGUUUUUAUAGAAUUGUCCCAAUUUAGGGUCCUUCAGGGCCCUCCAGGAUGCCUAUUUGAGAUGUUUUUCUUUCUGAAAAGCAUUAUCUAGGGAUAAAAAAAAAAGAACGUAAUCUGUCAUAAUCUUAGCCCAAGGAAAUAUGAAUCCUGGUCUCCUUACAGUUCUCAGAGAAGUAAAAAUAAAACCAAAAGGCAAGAUGUUUUCCACAAGGAAAGAAUAUCAAACUUCUGGCCAAUGACUACCUUCCUUCUUUCUAUCCCCUUUUCUACCACCUGCUGCUGUACUCAAGCCAAGAAUCAACGCAUCACCAUUUCUGAUUUCAGAACUUUUCUGAGUUCCUAUGAAUAUCUUUCUCCAAUUCCUUCUAGUUCUGGAAGCCAAUGUGAGCCCAUUUCUGCCAUUUUAAUUCCUCUAUUCCUUCUGAUUUCUUAUUUCCUGCUUCCAUAUUGUUGUACUUAUGUGCUGUUCAUGACCACUCUUUCUGUUUUCUCUCUGUCUAUUUAGAGUAUCUCACAUCACUCAGAAUUAUCCAUUUAUGUUAAACUUGACAGGGUCACCACACUGACUGUUGGCAUCUUUCAUGCAAAAAAGAAAUAGGAAAAAUAUAUAAUUAAAAAGAAAACUACCAGUCACAGGCAGAGCAUAUAGACGGUUUUUCUCACAUAAAAUUAUAAAAAGUGGGAAAGGCAGAUACCUAUUCCCAAGGUAUGAAGCCUCUGAAAUAAACUUCUAUCAAAAAAAAAAAAA
Molecule: non-coding RNA, 42597 nt
Organism: Macaca mulatta (Rhesus monkey)
Lineage: Eukaryota; Metazoa; Chordata; Mammalia; Primates; Cercopithecidae
Source: RefSeq, a predicted model, not a curated record